RNAcentral lists this transfer RNA (69 nucleotides) under Actinomycetota bacterium. Its description in RNAcentral is "Actinobacteria bacterium tRNA-Val". It matches the Rfam family "tRNA". Rfam says of the family: Transfer RNA (tRNA) molecules are approximately 80 nucleotides in length. Their secondary structure includes four short double-helical elements and three loops (D, anti-codon, and T loops). The record is from RNAcentral. Lineage: Bacteria; Bacillati; Actinomycetota.
GGGUUAGCUCAGUGGUAGAGCCCCUCGUUUACACCGAGCAUGUUGGGGGUUUGAAACCCUCACCGCCCA